GCUCAGGAUGAACGCUGGCGGCGUGCUUAACACAUGCAAGUCGAACGAUGAUCCCAGCUUGCUGGGGGAUUAGUGGCGAACGGGUGAGUAACACGUGAGUAACCUGCCCUUAACUCUGGGAUAAGCCUGGGAAACUGGGUCUAAUACCGGAUAUGACUCCUCAUCGCAUGGUGGGGGGUGGAAAGCUUUAUUGUGGUUUUGGAUGGACUCGCGGCCUAUCAGCUUGUUGGUGAGGUAAUGGCUCACCAAGGCGACGACGGGUAGCCGGCCUGAGAGGGUGACCGGCCACACUGGGACUGAGACACGGCCCAGACUCCUACGGGAGGCAGCAGUGGGGAAUAUUGCACAAUGGGCGAAAGCCUGAUGCAGCGACGCCGCGUGAGGGAUGACGGCCUUCGGGUUGUAAACCUCUUUCAGUAGGGAAGAAGCGAAAGUGACGGUACCUGCAGAAGAAGCGCCGGCUAACUA
RNAcentral lists this ribosomal RNA (468 nucleotides) under Micrococcineae bacterium BF.41. RNAcentral describes it as "bacterial SSU rRNA". It matches the Rfam family "Bacterial small subunit ribosomal RNA", at positions 22 to 503 of the family's 1533-position model. Lineage: Bacteria; Bacillati; Actinomycetota; Actinomycetes; Micrococcales. The record is from RNAcentral.